This 82-nucleotide transfer RNA is filed under the name Gryllotalpicola protaetiae. It matches the Rfam family "tRNA". From Rfam's summary of the family: Transfer RNA (tRNA) molecules are approximately 80 nucleotides in length. Their secondary structure includes four short double-helical elements and three loops (D, anti-codon, and T loops). Lineage: Bacteria; Bacillati; Actinomycetota; Actinomycetes; Micrococcales; Microbacteriaceae. The record is from Rfam by way of RNAcentral.
GCGAGAGUGGUGGAACUGGCAGACACGCAGGAUUUAGGUUCCUGUGCCGAAAGGCGUGAGGGUUCGAUUCCCUUCUCUCGCA